AUCGAUGAAGAACGCAGCGAAAUGCGAUAAGUAAUGUGAAUUGCAGAAUUCAGUGAAUCAUCGAAUCUUUGAACGCACCUUGCGCUCCUUGGUAUUCCGAGGAGCAUGCCUGUUUGAGUGUCAUUAAUAUUAUAUAUCAAACCCUCUUUCUCUGAGUGGUUUGGAUGUGGGGGUGCUGGCCUCUUGAAGGGGUCAGCUCCCCUGAAAUACAUUAGCAGAACGACCUGUUUGUUCAUUGGUGUGAUAACUAUCUACGCUAUUGAACAGUGAAGGCAGUUCAGCUUCCUAACAGUCUUUGGACAAUUUAUCAUCUAUGUGACCUCAAAUCAGGUAGGACUACCCGCUGAACUUAA
Molecule: ribosomal RNA, 353 nt
Filed under: uncultured Cortinarius
Lineage: Eukaryota; Fungi; Basidiomycota; Agaricomycetes; Agaricales; Cortinariaceae
Description: eukaryotic LSU rRNA
Rfam family: 5.8S ribosomal RNA (bases 1-123)
Source: RNAcentral